Molecule: ribosomal RNA, 513 nt
Filed under: Paenibacillus sp. Y16
Lineage: Bacteria; Bacillati; Bacillota; Bacilli; Caryophanales; Paenibacillaceae
Description: bacterial SSU rRNA
Rfam family: Bacterial small subunit ribosomal RNA
Source: RNAcentral
CCUUCGGACAGAGGAGACAGGUGGUGCAUGGUGUCGUCAGCUCGUGUCGUGAGAUGUUGGGUUAAGUCCCGCAACGAGCGCAACCCUUGAUCUUAGUUGCCAGCACUUCGGGUGGGCACUCUAAGGUGACUGCCGGUGACAAACCGGAGGAAGGUGGGGAUGACGUCAAAUCAUCAUGCCCCUUAUGACCUGGGCUACACACGUACUACAAUGGCCGGUACAACGGGCCGCGAAGCCGCGAGGUGGAGCUAAUCCUAAAAAGCCGGUCUCAGUUCGGAUUGCAGGCUGCAACUCGCCUGCAUGAAGUCGGAAUUGCUAGUAAUCGCGGAUCAGCAUGCCGCGGUGAAUACGUUCCCGGGUCUUGUACACACCGCCCGUCACACCACGAGAGUUUACAACACCCGAAGUCGGUGGGGUAACCGCAAGGAGCCAGCCGCCGAAGGUGGGGUAGAUGAUUGGGGUGAAGUCGUAACAAGGUAGCCGUAUCGGAAGGUGCGGCUGGAUCACCUCCUU